UUAAGUUCAGCGGGUAUUCCUACCUGAUCCGAGGUCAACUUUCAGAAGUGGGUUGUUUUACGGCAUGGCCGCGCCGCGUUCCAGUGCGAGUGUUAGCUACUGCGCAGAGGAGGACUACAGCGAGACCGCCACUAGUUUUCGGGGCCGGCAGCCCCCUGAGGGGCCGCGCCGAUCCCCAACGCCAGGCUGGGCCUGAGGGU
RNAcentral lists this unclassified non-coding RNA (200 nucleotides) under Myrothecium sp. RNAcentral describes it as "partial internal transcribed spacer 2". Lineage: Eukaryota; Fungi; Ascomycota; Sordariomycetes; Hypocreales; Stachybotryaceae. The record is from RNAcentral.